UGAUGUGAAAGCCCCCGGCUCAACCGGGGAGGGUCAUUGGAAACUGGGAAACUUGAGUGCAGAAGAGGAGAGUGGAAUUCCACGUGUAGCGGUGAAAUGCGUAGAGAUGUGGAGGAACACCAGUGGCGAAGGCGACUCUCUGGUCUGUAACUGACGCUGAGGAGCGAAAGCGUGGGGAGCGAACAGGAUUAGAUACCCUGGUAGUCCACGCCGUAAACGAUGAGUGCUAAGUGUUAGGGGGUUUCCGCCCCUUAGUGCUGCAGCUAACGCAUUAAGCACUCCCCCNGGGGAGUACGGUCGCAAGACUGAAACUCAAAGGAAUUGACGGGGGCCCGCACAAGCGGUGGAGCAUGUGGUUUAAUUCUAAGCAACGCGAAGAACCUUACCAGGUCUUGACAUCCUCUGACAAC
RNAcentral lists this ribosomal RNA (410 nucleotides) under Bacillus sp. (in: firmicutes). RNAcentral describes it as "bacterial SSU rRNA". It matches the Rfam family "Bacterial small subunit ribosomal RNA", at positions 590 to 998 of the family's 1533-position model. Lineage: Bacteria; Bacillati; Bacillota; Bacilli; Caryophanales; Bacillaceae. The record is from RNAcentral.